RNAcentral lists this ribosomal RNA (525 nucleotides) under uncultured bacterium. RNAcentral describes it as "bacterial SSU rRNA". It matches the Rfam family "Bacterial small subunit ribosomal RNA", at positions 8 to 509 of the family's 1533-position model. The record is from RNAcentral.
AGAGUUUGAUCCUGGCUCAGAACGAACGCUGGCGGCGUGCUUAACACAUGCAAGUCGAACGCGAACGAGUUCUUCGGAACUUUAGUAGAGUGGCGCACGGGUGAGUAACGCGUAAGUAAUCUACCCUCGCAUCUGGGAUAACCCACCGAAAGGUGUGCUAAUACCGGAUACGUCUAUGUUAAUAUCUUUUUUAUAGAGAAAGGUGGCCUCUGAUUCAAGCUACUGUGCGGGGAGGAGCUUGCGUACCAUUAGCUAGUUGGUAGGGUAACGGCCUACCAAGGCGACGAUGGUUAGCGGGUCUGAGAGGAUGAUCCGCCACACUGGAACUGAAACACGGACCAGACUCCUACGGGAGGCAGCAGUGAGGAAUAUUGCGCAAUGGGGGCAACCCUGACGCAGCGACGCCGCGUGGAUGAUGAAGGCCUUCGGGUUGUAAAAUCCUGUCAGAUGGGAAGAAGUGCUAUAUGGUUAAUAUCUGUAUAGUUUGACGGUACCAUCAAAGGAAGCACCGGCUAACUCCGUGCC